AAUAGAUACCCUGGUAGUCCACGCCGUAAACGAUGAGUGCUAAGUGUUAGAGGGUUUCCGCCCUUUAGUGCUGCAGCUAACGCAUUAAGCACUCCGCCUGGGGAGUACGGCCGCAAGGCUGAAACUCAAAGGAAUUGACGGGGGCCCGCACAAGCGGUGGAGCAUGUGGUUUAAUUCGAAGCAACGCGAAGAACCUUACCAGGUCUUGACAUCCUCUGCCAACCCUAGAGAUAGGGCGCUCCCCUUCGGGGGACAGAGUGACAGGUGGUGCAUGGUUGUCGUCAGCUCGUGUCGUGAGAUGUUGGGUUAAGUCCCGCAACGAGCGCAACCCUUGAUCUUAGUUGCCAGCAUUCAGUUGGGCACUCUAAGGUGACUGCCGGUGACAAACCGGAGGAAGGUGGGGAUGACGUCAAAUCAUCAUGCCCCUUAUGACCUGGGCUACACACGUGCUACAAUGGAUGGUACAAAGAGCUGCGAACCCGCGAGGGUAAGCGAAUCUCAUAAAGCCAUUCUCAGUUCGGAUUGU
Molecule: ribosomal RNA, 526 nt
Filed under: uncultured bacterium
Lineage: Bacteria
Description: bacterial SSU rRNA
Rfam family: Bacterial small subunit ribosomal RNA
Source: RNAcentral